Molecule: non-coding RNA, 74 nt
Organism: Aedes albopictus (Asian tiger mosquito)
Lineage: Eukaryota; Metazoa; Arthropoda; Insecta; Diptera; Culicidae
Source: Rfam
UGUUCUAAGGCUUAGUUGGUUAAAGCGACGGUCUAGCGAAUACGGAGUCGUGGGUUCCAAUCCCACUAGAACGC